CUCUGAAUCGCACUUAUGAGAAAAUUUAGGACGGUUUAUACACAACAUUUUAUAAAUGAGGCCCCAGGUCCUGCACGGGGACCCACGGGUCUCUUUUAAUGAACACACCUGAUUCAGAUCAUCAGCUCAUCAGCAGGGAGCUCCAUCAGCUGAGGGUUUCAGAUCAUACAGUGCAGAAUGUGCAGGAGCAGGACUGAAAGCCACUGACCUACAGAGUCACAAGACACGGUUGCAAAGGCAAUCGAUGAAGUGCAUCCAAAGCUCCCUAUCAGUUUCCAUGAGGCUUCACAAGACAUACGUCUACAGCAACACACCGUUUCGAGACAUGGAUGGAUACACUGAUGAACAGCCAAAUGACCUUAACUGAUGCCUGAGUGGAAGUUCAUUAAAUGUUAUCAAACAUAAAACACCAACACGUCAAAAUGAGAGCAGGCCACAGAGAGAAGCGUCAUUACAAUGCGAGUCCAGGAGCGCCGUCCUCUCUGACCUGCGGUGCAUCCCAUCGCCCCGGCAGCACGAGGUCAGAGAGAAUAGAGGACCAGUGCCAUCCCACACUCCAUAAGAUAGACUAAAGCCUUUAUCUGUCUAUUCCCAGCACAGGGUGGCCGGGCCACAGCCGCUAUCAACAGAGAGCCUGAAAUAUGCCUCAGAAUGAAAUCCAGUCUCAGCUCUGUCUCAAAAUAGAUUUCUCUUUCUUGUCUUUCACCCCUUGUUGUACACGGCACUGAAAAGAUUGUCUGGGAAAUACAGUAUAACUCACACCAGGGCUGGACCGAUUCGAGCACGCGUUUCCGUUCAG
Long non-coding RNA from Sinocyclocheilus anshuiensis, 799 nucleotides. NCBI's taxonomy places the organism in Eukaryota, Metazoa, Chordata, Actinopteri, Cypriniformes, Cyprinidae. The record is from Ensembl.